This 36-nucleotide ribosomal RNA is filed under the name Pyricularia oryzae. RNAcentral's name for it is "partial 28S ribosomal RNA". Lineage: Eukaryota; Fungi; Ascomycota; Sordariomycetes; Magnaporthales; Pyriculariaceae. The record is from RNAcentral.
AAUACCCGCUGAACUUAAGCAUAUCAAUAAGCCGGA